GACGAACGCUGGCGGCGUGCUUAACACAUGCAAGUCGAACGGAAAGGCCCUUCUUGCAGGGUACUCGAGUGGCGAACGGGUGAGUAACACGUGGGUGAUCUGCCCUGCACUUCGGGAUAAGCCUGGGAAACUGGGUCUAAUACCGGAUAGGAGCCAUUUUUAGUGUGAUUGUUGGAAAGUUUUUUCGGUGUAGGAUGAGCUCGCGGCCUAUCAGCUUGUUGUUGGGGUAAUGGCCUACCAAGGCGGCGACGGGUAGCCGGCCUGAGAGGGUGGACGGCCAAAUUGGGACUGAGAUACGGCCCAGACACCUAAGGGAGGCAGCAGUGGGGAAUAUUGCAAAAUGGGAGCAAGCCUGAUGCAGCGACGACGCGUGGGGGAUGACGGCAUUCGGGUUGUAAACUCCUUUCGCUAGGGACGAAGCUUUUGUGACGGUACCUAGAGAAGAAGCACCGGAUAACUACGUG
RNAcentral lists this ribosomal RNA (464 nucleotides) under uncultured bacterium. RNAcentral's name for it is "partial 16S ribosomal RNA". It matches the Rfam family "Bacterial small subunit ribosomal RNA", at positions 28 to 507 of the family's 1533-position model. The record is from RNAcentral.